AGCAAGUAAAAUGGUUUGAUGGUUAUGCCACAAACAUGCAGAGAGGGAGAAACGGCACGGGCUGCCCUGCCUGUGCCCACUCCUGGCUCAGCUCAGAAGCGUGCCCACUAUGAGAAGAAGUGCCUGCAGUAGCUGGCUCUUGGGGCGUUAAUGGCUAUGGCCUCCCGGAGAAUACUACAGAAUAUUUUAGGUUUACAUUUUGCAGAUGGUGUGCCAAGUCAUUCCCUCAUUCGGCCUAUUAGAUGGUUAGUUUCCUUUUUCUAGUUAAAGGAUUAACUAGAAUUAUCAGUCAUCAUGAGCUUCCCCCCAAGGACAGGUCAAAGGAAAUUAAUGGAAACUGCAGCAAUAGAGACAUGGGUUAGUUCCACAGAAGGAAUUCCUGACUGGGAGAAUUAGCCCUGGCACAGCUUCUAAGGGGGUGGAAUUAGAACCCAUCAUGGAAGCUAGGCAGAGCUGGAAACCCCUGCAGGCUCUGGCUUAGAAUGGAGGUUACAGGCAAAACAGCAGAGUUGGGGGGGGGGGGGCGGGUUAAAUACUUCACCAUAAAAUGUUCCAGAAACUUGAAUCUGAAUGAGGGCCUUUGAAAUAUUUCAGCCUGACCUUUUCACGUGCAGAUGUGAAAACUGUGAUCCAGACCUGGCCAGUGACUUGCUAAGGGCCAUGCAGCUAAGUAACAGCAAAGGUAGAACGCAGGGCUGCAGUCCCUGCCGUGAUUCCCCAACUUGAAUCUAGUAAUGCUCACUAUAGAGGAGACGACAGCCUUCUCAGGUUCUCGGUCCACGGGACUAUAAAAUGGAAUGUUGGGCUUGGCACAUCACAACACAACUGUCUAUUUACAAGUUUAUUCCCAGUCUCCAAUGGAGGUGAACGCCCCAAGGAUAGGGACCAUGACUUCCUCAUCUUUGUCACUGGGUGCCUUCCACAAGGCCUGACACAUAGCAGGUCUUCAGGUGCAGGAGAUUGAGACUCUGUGCUCUCCUUCAGCAAGGCAUAGGUUGAACUCAGAACAAAUAAGUCAGAGAUUAAAUAAAUGUCUUCGCAUAAAGCUGCGAGUUUACAAAGAAGAAUCAAAUGAGGAACCCAAGCAACUGUUGCUUUCACGAAACUUGGAGGUUUCUAAGGCAGUGUUUCCCAAUGUCAAGAUGUCACCGUUUCAAAAGAGAACCUGAAUUCUCAGAAGAUUUCAAUGCAAGAUUUUCACUUGCCUCCAUUUUGCAAAUAAAUAAAUGCCAUAC
Molecule: long non-coding RNA, 1235 nt
Organism: Piliocolobus tephrosceles (Ugandan red Colobus)
Lineage: Eukaryota; Metazoa; Chordata; Mammalia; Primates; Cercopithecidae
Exons: 2
Source: RefSeq, a predicted model, not a curated record